Molecule: non-coding RNA, 24 nt
Filed under: Arabidopsis thaliana (thale cress)
Lineage: Eukaryota; Viridiplantae; Streptophyta; Magnoliopsida; Brassicales; Brassicaceae
Source: RNAcentral
ACAUAACGGUGUCCUGCAUGGCCU